Molecule: transfer RNA, 73 nt
Filed under: Felis catus (domestic cat)
Lineage: Eukaryota; Metazoa; Chordata; Mammalia; Carnivora; Felidae
Rfam family: tRNA
About the family: Transfer RNA (tRNA) molecules are approximately 80 nucleotides in length. Their secondary structure includes four short double-helical elements and three loops (D, anti-codon, and T loops). Further hydrogen bonds mediate the characteristic L-shaped molecular structure. tRNAs have two regions of fundamental functional importance: the anti-codon, which is responsible for specific mRNA codon recognition, and the 3' end, to which the tRNAs corresponding amino acid is attached (by aminoacyl-tRNA synthetases). tRNAs cope with the degeneracy of the genetic code in two manners: having more than one tRNA (with a specific anti-codon) for a particular amino acid; and 'wobble' base-pairing, i.e. permitting non-standard base-pairing at the 3rd anti-codon position.
Source: Rfam by way of RNAcentral
GCAUGGUUGGCUCAGUUGGUGGAACACGUGACUCUCGAUCUCGGGGUUGUGGGUUCAAGCCCCACAUUGGGUG